This 3781-nucleotide long non-coding RNA is filed under the name Salvia miltiorrhiza (redroot sage). RNAcentral's name for it is "long non-coding RNA (SMIL_LNC009170)". Lineage: Eukaryota; Viridiplantae; Streptophyta; Magnoliopsida; Lamiales; Lamiaceae. The record is from RNAcentral.
UUGGCCGUCCGGACAGGAGUAGUGGAUUUAUCUUCCUGUUAAUCGAUCCGGCUUGCUUCCUCCGAUCAGAUCUCUGGUUUGUUCCUUCAAUCUUCAAAAAACACCCACGGCUCAACCAUGGACGCCCCAAAUCCAUCAGCAAUCUACAUCCUCCUCCCAUAUCCUCCGUCUCCGCCCCUUCUGUUCCCCCAACAAGCGUCUGCCUCAUUUCCCACCCGCCCGCUUUUCACCCGUCAAUUCGCCUUCUCCAAAUGAAAUCCUCGGUGGCCAGCGAAAGAGAGGGGAAGGGAGAAGGCGGCCGAGAGGCGUCUCUCAAACCCUAGUGUCCUACCCUUCCUUUUACUUCAGCCCAAGUGUCCACCCAACGGUCAUAAGUUCUGCACUCUCAGUGGCCAAAGAUUACUACAUUUAAAUUUUCGGCCCAACAGCCCAAACUCGCAUCUUAACUCAGCCCGCUUUUUCUCCUCUUCAGCCUAUUUUAAAUUUAAAUUAAAUAAGAACAAAAUUCAAAUUAAAUAGACAACUAAUAAUAAUAAUAACAAUAAUAAAUUACUUGUAAAUUAUUUACAUAAUUAUUUUUUAAAAAAAUAAAAAAAAUCUCUCUCCUCAAUCUUCUUUUUGGAAUAAAUUUUGCCUUUUCAUAAUAUUAAUUUCUAUUAUUGCAAACUCUUCUUUACUUUCUUUUUUCAAUAUUCAGCUCAUAUACAGUCAGUUAAAAUUUAAUUUUUAUUACAUUAAUUAAUAAAUAUGAUAAUUCAGUUGGUAUAUAUUUUAUAUAAAUACAAAAAUACAAAAAUAUUUUCAGGGUGGAAUUGCUAAUUAUUUUUUUACUUGUGAAUAAUUUUGUUUCAAUUUAUUAUGUUUUUCUCUAUAGUGUACAAUUAUUUUCUAUUUUUGUGUUAUUUUCUUCUCUUUAUUUAUUUAAAUUAAUAACUAUGAUAAAAAUUAUAAGUUAAUAAGUUAAUAAAUAUUAUAAAUAAAUUAUGACCAUGUCAGUUUUAAAAAUAAGAGUAGUGAUUAAUUACUUUAGUAUUUAUUUUUUCAAAAUAUGUUGAAAAUCAUUGAAUUUUAAAUUAAAAUCAUGAAGAUUAUGUGUAAAUUAUUUACAUAAUUGUUCUUAAAAGUAUUUUAAGUGUGUGUAGAUUAGUAUAAAAGUAAUAAAGUAGGAGAGAGAAGGUGAUAAAGUAUGAGAGAGAAGAUAAUAAAAUGAUAAAGUGGGAGAGAGAAUGUGAUAAAGUAGGAGAGAGAAUGUAAUAAAGUGAUAAAGUAGGAGAGAUAAUGUGAUAAAGUAGUGAUUGAAUGUGAUAAAUAUUUCCAUUUAGAAAAGUGACCAACAAUAGUCGGACAAACAAAAAACAAAUGCAGCCAAACAAUAUAAAAAAAGAGGGAGUAAUGUUUAUUUGUUAAUUUAAUUUAGGAAUAAAAUAAGAAAUGUAAUGUAAUUGCAAGUAUAUAUAUGAACUUCAAUCAAUAAUAUUGACAUCAAUUAAUAGGUUAAAAUAAAAUAAUAGUAUUAGUCUUAGGUUAGAAAUUAAAAAAAAAAAAGUAGUAAAAAAAACAUGGAGGCUCAUUAUAAACACAAACAACUUAGCUCAUAAACAAUGAGUCCUUGAAGUUAGAUCUGAAAAUUAAGGCCAAAAUAACUCUCGGUCAAAGGAGAUGGAGUGUAUGGUAAUAAGUUAGACCAUAUAUUCACAUAAACUGCUAUUACCAUAAACGCCCACUAUGUGAUCACUAUCUGCUAUUGCAACCGGUAUGGCUGUUGCUUUGACAACUAUGAUGACAAAAAUUGGGUAAAAACCCUAUCAAGCAAUUGAUAGGGUUCACUCUUAACAUUGCCAAUUAUAAGGUUUAAGACCUAAAGCACAAAUAAUAAUGAGGCUAAGACUCCAUACAUAGUAGUAUUUGUAUCCAAAUCCAGCUACGACUUAAAAUACCAGUCAUUAGCAAUUGUAGCCAUACCACCACAACAUAAUCUUCUAAUACUUCUGAAACUCUUGAUAAAUGAAAAUAAAUGAAUUCGUAAUGAGAUUUGUAUCACCUUCAAAGUGUUGGUGCGCAGACACAUAUUUAACUGCUUCUCUCUCGAGAGAAAAUAGUCUUUAGUUUCCAUUAUACCCAGCAUCUAAACAGAAUGGUAAAUUCUUCAAUCAUGCAAUUUGAGAUUGAAAAACAUCACAAAAGUAAUAGGAAAACAUAAAAGAAAAGUGUACCUCCAUUACAGCUUCAAUCAUAAACUUAUUGUACCGCGAAUAUGUGAUGAGAUCCAUCACGAGCUGAUUAACAUAAUCCUUGUAUGUCGGUUUCUCUUCCUUCAAAAGCUCAAAAACAGAGAGUACCCUAAAAACUGAAAAUAAGGAUUACCAAAGAGAACAGCCAAUUAAAUUAAGGCCACGGAAUUUCAGAAGGGAAAAAAAAGAAAUAUAACAAAACAUACUAUCGUUGAUCCUUUCCCAGAGCUUGGAACGAGGCAUGCGCUUACUCUUUUCCUCUUCGAACUCCUAGGUUAUUGUAUGGAAAUUUAUAAGCACUUUUCAAUUCAUAAGAUAAUACUCCCUCCGUCCACGAAAGAACUUCCUAUCUUUCCUUUUUGGGACGUCCACAAAAGAACUUCCUACCUAUUUUUGGACUAUACCCCACCACUUAUAAUCCUCUUACUUUUCACUUUUCACAACUCCCAAUAUUAAUUUAUAACACCUUUUCACCACUCCUAAUACACUCAACUAUCUUAUAUCCACUCUCAANCCGCUUUUCACCCGUCAAUAUGCACCGUCAAUGCUGACAAGGCGGCGCCGCCUCCUUCGCCUUCUCCAAAUGAAACCGCCAUUUCUUCCCGUCUGUCCUCUUGCACCACCCGGGCUUCGGAUCUCCUUUUCUGCUGUAUCUAAUACCGCCUGAAACAAUUUCUGAGUUCAGUUAAUAAUAUGCAGAGAUUGGAUGUGGAAUGGUAUGGGAGAAUGAAAAAUAUUUAUAUAUGUGCAUUUACAGGGGAAAGAGAAGAUGAGGCGGCACAGGAACACAGGAAAUCAUGCAUGUGCAUAUCAUAGCUUGUCUCUCCAGUUCUUUCUAUUGUGCACCUGUGAAUGCAACUUCUCCACCUGAAUCAUCCAUCUUUCUAAAUCAAGACAAAAUAAAAAAUAAUAAUACUAAAAAAUAAAUCAUGAUCGUUUACCUCCUACAUAAACUGUAAUUGUGAAGUCCAUUUUUCAGCAGAAUCAAAUUCCUUGCUUUUAUUUCCAGUGAUGAAUCUUCUUAUCACCAGAAAAGUAUUAAAAAAAAAGGCAUCUAAACUCAGACACUGCAAAAAAAGAUGUGUCAUCGACAAGAAAAAGCAAGAUAAAAUUCCACAACCUCACUCAAUAAGAAUUCCUCUCACCUUAAACAAUGUUUUUCCCAUUUCAUAUUCAACCACUGUAAGAAACCAUUGCCAUGAAAAAGAUGUGUCAUCGACAAGAAAAGCAAGAUAAAUUCCACAACCUCACUCAAUAAGAAUUCCUCUCACCUUAACAAUGUUUUUCCCAUUUCAUAUUCAACCACUGUAAGAAACCAUUGCCAUGAGUGGAAGCUUCCGGAAUUCCCGACAGCCGGAAAGUUGGCCGUCCGGACAGGAGUAGUGGAUUUAUCUUCCUGUUAAUCGAUCCGGCUUGCUUUGUUCCUUCAAUCUUCAAAAAACACCCACGGCUCAACCAUGGACGCCCCAAAUCCAUCAGCAAUCUACAUCCUCCUCUCAUAUCCUCCGUCUCCGACCCUUCUGUUCCCCCAACAAGCGUCUGCCUCAUUU